Molecule: long non-coding RNA, 1979 nt
Organism: Cercocebus atys (sooty mangabey)
Lineage: Eukaryota; Metazoa; Chordata; Mammalia; Primates; Cercopithecidae
Exons: 4
Source: RefSeq, a predicted model, not a curated record
AGGUACAACGGACACCACUCGGAUGAUGGGUGCGAUAAAAUCUCAGGCUUUUGUAAUUCAUCCAUGAAACCAAAAACCACUUGUACCCCAAAAGCUAUUGAAAUUCAAAAUUUUUUAAAAAAUUAAAAUAAAGGAUGCCACGUGGUUAGCCAUAGGAGUUUAUUUCUCAACUCUGAUGAAAUGCCACAAGCAUCGCCUUUUCCCAAGUCUCCCUUCUGUGACAUGGCAUUUGAGGCAGCAUCCCAGGGCAGGGGUGGUGCCCAACGUAUUACUAAGCUGCAUUAUUUGGUAAGUCAGAGGUGGAUCGCUUCCAAACAAGCUUACCCUUUUCCAUAAAGAUGAAAACACCACCACCAAAAAAGAAAGAGAUUUUUUUGAGGCAACAACCCCCGGCUGCAGGCUGAGGGAGCUGUCAGCAUCGUUCAUCCUGAUGUUCCCUGGGCUGGGGGGAGGAACUGGCAGCUGUUCGCCAGUGAUUCCGUUUUUUUCGUUGUGUGUUUCGUAAGUGGUUUUUAACCAGGCGCCCUUAAAAUGUAUUAUUGUGAGAAAAUAAACCAAGAAACAAGGGGUAGUAAUUUAGUACUAGGAAGUUAAUUCUGGAGACCUCCGACCUUUCAGCAGUCAUGUGGCUAUUGAUUUUCAAUACCGUGAGGUGGCGGCCACCCUAGGCGUGGGGUUCAGUGGAUUCCAAACAGUUUCUCCCUUAUCAGUUGAGUCCCUGAGUACUUGAGCAUUAAGACAACAAAUGUCCGGAGUUAACGGCGUGUCACAUGGCAGCUGGGUGGACGUGCCAAUUUUCUAAUGAAGUUGGGUUGUUGGCAAACACACCAGUCAUCGUAUAUUGAAGGAGGUCUUCUUUUGUGUAUUUCCAGCACUCUUGAGUGCUUCAAAAGAUACCAGUUACAUCAUUGUCUGAGGGCACCAAGGGAGAAACAUCCAUCCCCUGCCAAGACAAACACGAGCAAAAGCAGAGUUAAAACCAAAAUGGGGCUGGGUUUUCUUGGAGGUGUUGGAAAUGUUUUUUUCCAGUUGUGCUCAAUGUGGGGAUAUUCGGAAGGAAAGCAGGGGCUGCUAAGCCCUUGUUUCUCUGCAACAAGAGGCACCGGGGUCAUUCCUUGCUCCCAACUUAGCUUGCACUCUGUGCGGGAGAAUCAGCCUCAUUUUUCUUCAUAUUGAAGAAAAACAGUCAGUGCAUUUUUGGGUCCAAGCCACUGUGUAGCGGAGGGAUGACACAGGCUCUCAGAUAAGCUGACCACAUCUACACCUCAGCAAACUCUGGGAGAUCCUCACUCUCCCUACCCUCUUCCCCCGCUCCCCACCAAUAAUAAAUUAGGGCUGCCAUCUUGUAUUGAUUAUUGAAAAUGUUAUGUCCACGGGAAGAAAAUGCCAUUGCUUUAAAUAUCAACAUUAUAAGAGAUUUAAAAGUUUUGUUUUGUUUUGUUUUACAGAAAUGUGUGUGUGAAAAAUUUUUAAGCAGUUGAAAAGAGCGGGGGUGUGGUGGGAAGAAUUAUUAAACAACAACAAAAAAAAUCAAUCCUCGGUUUGGCCUGGCCAGAUGAGCGUUUCUCGGCUCAGGUUACCACUGGCAUUGGCCCCGCUGGUGGCUCUGUUCCUGCUUCAUUCGGGUUGCUCUUCUCCAGCCUCCCACCGUCCCCUUGUCACGGCUCUCCCAGCACCUCAUCAGCACCUUUCCAGCCUCUACCUGAUGCCCACUUCGAAAACCAGGCCAAAGUUCAGGUCUCGGAAGAAACCAUCACACCGAGGUCAUUUCUGAGCACAGCGUGGAAGCUCCUAUGUUUGCAGUAGGAACUAGGUACUGCGACAUUCAAGAACCGUAGGCAUCCAGCCCCAUACAAUUCACAAGGUGAACCUACCUGAAUCCUGAUCUGGAGUUCAGCAGGCUCCCUCUGACCUCCUCCUAGCCACUAUCACCCUACUUGGGUAAGUUCAACUCUGCCUUUUCACACCAUUGAUGAGUU